CCAAAGUUUGAUUCUUGCUUUCAAUUUUAUUUUUACGAUGUCUUAUAUGUAAGGUUUGUUCUAAAAGGUCUUUUUGCAGUAAUUUGAAUUAAUAAUCAAGUAAUUUUGGAAUUAGUAAUUGUAUUUAGUAUUGACUUAUUUCGUGCCAGCAGUCGCGGUUAUACGAUUAAUGCAAUUAAAAUUUAUUGGUUUAUAGUUAACUGUUUAUUGGAUUUAAUUUUUUAAAUUUUAGGUGAAAUUUUAUUUAUUUAUUAGUUCGUAGAGUGAUCCUAUGAAAUUCCAGAUUUAAACUAGGAUUAGAUACCCUAUUAUUUGAAAUGUGAAAAUUAAGCCUGAGUAGUAUUUGUUAUAUUCUAAAAACUCAAAGAAUUUGGCGGUAUUUUAUCUGUUUAGAGGAACCUGUUCUAUAAUUGAUGGUACACGAUUAACUUUACUUGAUCUAUUUGCUUGUAUAUCUCCGUUAGCAGGAUGUCUUAUUAAAGAUAAAAUAUUCAAUAUAUUUAAUUAGAUUUUAUUUCAGGUCAAGAUACAGUUUAUGAUUAAGUAGAAAUGGGUUACAUUAAAAUUUAUUUUCGGUAUUUGCGUGAAAUACAAUAAUUUAAGUUGGAUUUAAUAGUAAUAAUAAUGAUUUUGUUUUUAUGAUAUAAGCUCUAAAAUGUGCACACAUCGCCCGUCACUCUCGUUAAGUUUAAUAAUUUAUGACUAUUAAGAUGAGAAAAGUCGUAACAAAGUAGAUUUACUGGAAAGUGAAUCUAGAAAGA
This 761-nucleotide non-coding RNA is filed under the name Pseudothericles compressifrons. Lineage: Eukaryota; Metazoa; Arthropoda; Insecta; Orthoptera; Thericleidae. The record is from RNAcentral.